Molecule: ribosomal RNA, 699 nt
Filed under: uncultured Thelephoraceae
Lineage: Eukaryota; Fungi; Basidiomycota; Agaricomycetes; Thelephorales; Thelephoraceae
Description: eukaryotic LSU rRNA
Rfam family: 5.8S ribosomal RNA (bases 210-364)
Source: RNAcentral
AGGAUCAUUACCGAACUGUCGACACGAGUUGUUGCUGGUCCUCAGAUGGGGGCACGUGCACGCUCUGUUUGCACAUCCACUCACACCUGUGCACCCUCUGUAGCUCUGUGGCCUGGGGGCUCUGCCCUCUUGCCGUGGUUCUACGUCUUUACACACACACCGUAAUAAAGUCUUAUGGAAUGUAUGUCGCGUUUAACGCAAUACAAUACAACUUUCAGCAACGGAUCUCUUGGCUCUCGCAUCGAUGAAGAACGCAGCGAAAUGCGAUAAGUAAUGUGAAUUGCAGAAUUCAGUGAAUCAUCGAAUCUUUGAACGCACCUUGCGCCCUUUAGCUAUUCUGAAGGGCAUGCCUGUUUGAGUAUCGUGAACACCUCAACUCUCAUGGUUCGCCAUGAUGAGCUUGGACUCUGGGGGUCUUGCUGGCCUAUGGUCGGCUCCUCUCAAACAAAUCAGCUUGCCAGUGUUUGGUGGCAUCACGGGUGUGAUAACUAUCUACGCUUGUGGUUUCCCACCAAGGUAACCUUCAGUGAUGGGGGUUCGCUGGGGCUCAUAAAUGUCUCUCCUCAGUGAGGACAGCUUUUGAACGUUUGAUCUCAAAUCAGGCAGGACUACCCGCUGAACUUAAGCAUAUCAAUAAGCGGAGGAAAAGAAACUAACAAGGAUUCCCCUAGUAACUGCGAGUGAAGCGGGAAGAGCUCA